Molecule: ribosomal RNA, 593 nt
Filed under: uncultured Gammaproteobacteria bacterium
Lineage: Bacteria; Pseudomonadati; Pseudomonadota; Gammaproteobacteria
Description: bacterial SSU rRNA
Rfam family: Bacterial small subunit ribosomal RNA
Source: RNAcentral
ACGGGUGAGUAACGCGUAGGAAUCUACCUAGUAGUGGGGGACAACGUCUCGAAAGGGACGCUAAUACCGCAUACGCCCUACGGGGGAAAGGGGGGGAUCUUCGGACCUCUCGCUAUUAGAUGAGCCUGCGUCGGAUUAGCUAGUUGGUGGGGUAAAGGCCUACCAAGGCAACGAUCCGUAGCUGGUCUGAGAGGAUGAUCAGCCACACCGGAACUGAGACACGGUCCGGACUCCUACGGGAGGCAGCAGUGGGGAAUAUUGGACAAUGGGGGCAACCCUGAUCCAGCCAUGCCGCGUGUGUGAAGAAGGCCUUCGGGUUGUAAAGCACUUUAGGGGGGGAGGAAGGUCCCAAAGCGAAUACCUUUGGGAAUUGACGUUACCCCCAGAAUAAGCACCGGCUAACUCCGUGCCAGCAGCCGCGGUAAUACGGAGGGUGCAAGCGUUAAUCGGAAUUACUGGGCGUAAAGCGCGCGUAGGCGGUUAGGUAAGUCGAUUGUGAAAUCCCCGGGCUCAACCUGGGAAUUGCAGUCGAGACUGUCUGACUAGAGUGUAGGAGAGGGUGGUGGAAUUCCCGGUGUAGCGGUGAAAUGCGU